Molecule: long non-coding RNA, 721 nt
Organism: Oreochromis aureus
Lineage: Eukaryota; Metazoa; Chordata; Actinopteri; Cichliformes; Cichlidae
Source: Ensembl
GUGAACUGAAUUUCAGGUAAGAAGUUAUGACCUGCACUCUAUUUGGGUCAGAUAUAAACCGAGUUUAGGUGUAGUUUAUUUAGCAACAGUUCUCUUACGUGUUGCUGAUAGCCGGCUGGCUAGCUAGCUAGCGCCGCUAGCUUAGCUAGCUAGCGCGGCUAGCGACCCUUCGUGAAAAACCACCCAGGCUUGGCUGAUAGUGAGGUGGCUAAAAUUUGUUUAAUCGCCCGAUCGCUCGGCAAGGGUCUGUGUCUUAGGUGGACUUAUUUUUCGUUUAUAUGGGCCGAUGAUGCUGGUCGAUGUGGAAAAAAUAACUGAGUUGUUUGGUGGUGGAGCUACAACAGAGGGCAGCUAUCCACCGGUGUGUGACAGAAAGGACAUGCCGCGAACGAGACAUACAAGGCGGUGAGGCUACCGCGGAUCGACCGCUGUUUGCUAACGCGGAGGUCAAUCGUGGAUGAGGAAAAGCGAAGGCAGGAGCGUGAGGUGAACUGAAUUUCAGGUAAGAAGUUAUGACCUGCACUCUAUUUGGGUCAGAUAUAAACCGAGUUUAGGUGUAGUUUAUUUAGCAACAGUUCUCUUACGUGUUGCUGAUAGCCGGCUGGCUAGCUAGCUAGCGCCGCUAGCUUAGCUAGCUAGCGCGGCUAGCGACCCUUCGUGAAAAACCACCCAGGCUUGGCUGAUAGUGAGGUGGCUAAAAUUUGUUUAAUCGCCCGAUCGC